GACGAACGCUGGCGGCGUGCUUAACACAUGCAAGUCGAACGGAAAGGCCCUGCUUUUGUGGGGUGCUCGAGUGGCGAACGGGUGAGUAACACGUGAGUAACCUGCCCUUGACUUUGGGAUAACUUCAGGAAACUGGGGCUAAUACCGGAUAGGAGCUCCUGCUGCAUGGUGGGGGUUGGAAAGUUUCGGCGGUUGGGGAUGGACUCGCGGCUUAUCAGCUUGUUGGUGGGGUAGUGGCUUACCAAGGCUUUGACGGGUAGCCGGCCUGAGAGGGUGACCGGCCACAUUGGGACUGAGAUACGGCCCAGACUCCUACGGGAGGCAGCAGUGGGGAAUAUUGCACAGUGGGCGGAUGCCUGAUGCAGCAACGCCGCGUGCGGGAUGACGGCCUUCGGGUUGUAAACCGCUUUCGCCUGUGACGAAGCGUGAGUGACGGUAAUGGGUAAAGAAGCACCGGCUAACUACGUGCCAGCAGCCGCGGUGAUACGUAGGGUGCGAGCGUUGUCCGGAUUUAUUGGGCGUAAAGGGCUCGUAGGUGGUUGAUCGCGUCGGAAGUGUAAUCUUGGGGCUUAACCCUGAGCGUGCUUUCGAUACGGGUUGACUUGAGGAAGGUAGGGGAGAAUGGAAUUCCUGGUGGAGCGGUGGAAUGCGCAGAUAUCAGGAGGAACACCAGUGGCGAAGGCGGUUCUCUGGGCCUUUCCUGACGCUGAGGAGCGAAAGCGUGGGGAGCGAACAGGCUUAGAUACCCUGGUAGUCCACGCUGUAAACGGUGGGUACUAGGUGUGGGGUCCAUUCCACGGGUUCCGUGCCGUAGCUAACGCUUUAAGUACCCCGCCUGGGGAGUACGGCCGCAAGGCUAAAACUCAAAGGAAUUGACGGGGCCCCGCACAAGCGGCGGAGCAUGCGGAUUAAUUCGAUGCAACGCGUAGAACCUUACCUGGGUUUGACAUGGAUCGGGAGUGCUCAGAGAUGGGUGUGCCUCUUUUGGGGUCGGUUCACAGGUGGUGCAUGCCUGUCGUCAGCUCGUGUCGUGAGAUGUUGGGUUAAGUCCCGCAACGAGCGCAACCCUUGUUCACUGUUGCCAGCACGUUAUGGUGGGGACUCAGUGGAGACCGCCGGGGUCAACUCGGAGGAAGAUGGGGAUGACGUCAAGUCAUCAUGCCCCUUAUGUCCAGGGCUUCACGCAUGCUACAAUGGCUGGUACAGAGAGUGGCGAGCCUGUGAGGGUGAGCGAAUCUCGGAAAGCCGGUCUCAGUUCGGAUUGGGGUCUGCAACUCGACCUCAUGAAGUCGGAGUCGCUAGUAAUUGCAGAUCAGCAACGCUGCGGUGAAUACGUUCCCGGG
RNAcentral lists this ribosomal RNA (1343 nucleotides) under uncultured bacterium. RNAcentral describes it as "16S ribosomal RNA". It matches the Rfam family "Bacterial small subunit ribosomal RNA", at positions 28 to 1378 of the family's 1533-position model. The record is from RNAcentral.